GACAGAGGGUGCAAACGUUGCUCGGAAUCACUGGGCGUAAAGGGCGUGUAGGCGGGAAGGAAAGUCAGAUGUGAAAUCCCUGGGCUCAACCCAGGAACUGCAUUUGAAACUCCCUUUCUUGAGUGUCGGAGAGGAAAGCGGAAUUCCUGGUGUAGAGGUGAAAUUCGUAGAUAUUGGGAAGAACACCGAUGGCGAAGGCAGCCCCCUGGGCCAACACUGACGCUCAGGCACGAAAGCGUGGGGAGCAAACAGG
This 253-nucleotide ribosomal RNA is filed under the name uncultured bacterium. RNAcentral's name for it is "partial 16S ribosomal RNA". It matches the Rfam family "Bacterial small subunit ribosomal RNA", at positions 524 to 776 of the family's 1533-position model. The record is from RNAcentral.